RNAcentral lists this ribosomal RNA (392 nucleotides) under uncultured bacterium. RNAcentral's name for it is "bacterial SSU rRNA". It matches the Rfam family "Bacterial small subunit ribosomal RNA", at positions 505 to 898 of the family's 1533-position model. The record is from RNAcentral.
GUGCCAGCAGCCGCGGUAAUACGAAGGGUGCUAGCGUUGUUCGGAAUCACUGGGCGUAAAGCGCGCGUAGGCGGCUUUUCAAGUCAGGGGUGAAAUCCCACAGCUUAACUGUGGAAUUGCCCUUGAAACUGUAAAGCUGGAGUGUCGGAGGGGAUGGCGGAAUUGCUAAUGUAGAGGUGAAAUUCGUAGAUAUUAGCAGGAACACCGGUGGCGAAGGCGGCCAUCUGGACGACAACUGACGCUGAGGCGCGAAAGCGUGGGGAUCAAACAGGAUUAGAUACCCUGGUAGUCCACGCUGUAAACGAUGGGUGCUAGCUGUUCGGGGGUUACCCCUGAGUGGCGCAGCUAACGCGUUAAGCACCCCGCCUGGGGAGUACGGUCGCAAGAUUAAA